CCAUUUCUCGUUUGGAAAAAGGGUCGAGCCACUCAGCCUCCUUCAAUCCCACCACUAAACCUAUUCUUCUUUCUCUUUCACUGCAACCUCUUUCCCCUUUAAUGGAGCCUCGGUUCUCUUUCGUUGAGCUUUCGUAGGUCGCGCAUUGAAACUCUAAUUUUCCCUCAUUCGAACCAUCAUUGUGCGACCUUAGCACCGUGGUUAAUUGCUUUUGUUGCAGUAAAAAAUAUAUACUUUUCGUGCUUGCGUUUUGAUUUCCGCGAUGGCGUCCAAAGGUCCCAGAUCGAAGAUUGAUCAUGAGAGCAGAGCCAAACUACAAAAGGUUUCAUUUAAUUUGCUUGAGAUGUACUUGGAAGCACACUCAUGAGCCUCCAUGUGGGAAAAUGAGCUCUUGGAUGUAGGCUACCAUCCUCUGUGCAUCCAGAUUCCCUACACAGUAAGGCUCUUAAUUUUGAACCAGGAACUUCAGCCUCACGUUUUGUUUCCUUAGUUGGUAUAAGGCUUACUCCUUGCAUAUUAUUUUUGUUAGAAGUGGACUUUAAGCCUAACUCAACCCCACAAAACCGACUUGUAAGGUGAGGUUUGCACCCACUUAUAAACUAUGAAUUGACCUUAUCUCUAGUCGAUGUGGGACUUCCAACAAUUUUCUCUAUUAGUUGUGUACUCUUUGUGUUAGA
Vigna angularis (adzuki bean) is the source of this 677-nucleotide long non-coding RNA. RefSeq lists it as uncharacterized. The transcript is spliced from 3 exons. Lineage: Eukaryota; Viridiplantae; Streptophyta; Magnoliopsida; Fabales; Fabaceae. The record is from RefSeq and is a predicted model, not a curated record.